GCGUGCCCUGGCGUGGUGCCGGUUGUACCGGCCCCAACAGCAUUCCUCCCGGGUUCUUUGUACGGUGUCAGCAGCGUGAUGGGACGUGCGAUGCAUGGAUACCCACCGUCACCCAAAAGGAUGUAUCCUCCAGCCGUCAAUGCUCCCCACAACCUUUUGCACGGCAGCAGACCCUGCGAGCUGCUCAAAACCAGUGGCGACUAACGGUAGUUCAUCCACGCUGGGGAGCCGGAUGACCCUGCGCAUCAGCUGGAGGAUGUGGUCUGCCGUUCUGUGGACAAUGUCACUCGCAGUGGACCGUAGUAUGUCAAAGGCUCUGGCCACCACGCAGUAAGAAGUGCCACACUCCAGCCAGAAAAGGAACACCAGAACCUCAAUGUGCCCAUCCCAGAGCAUGAGGAACCUGAAGCUGCUCCACCAGACGUCUUAUGGUCCUGCGGGUCAACAGAAAAUCUGGUCUUGUGUCAGACUGACCGUCAGCGUAGAGGGCCAGGAGAGGCACCUUUGUGUUGGCAUAGCAGUAUAGCUGUGGAAGACCCUGUUAAAUGUAACAUUAAUCAUUUAAUUUAUAAAAUAAAGUUAUCUGUGGAAUGUUUUGGUUCA
This is a long non-coding RNA of Oryzias melastigma (Indian medaka), 603 nucleotides long. RefSeq lists it as uncharacterized. The record is from RefSeq and is a predicted model, not a curated record. NCBI's taxonomy places the organism in Eukaryota, Metazoa, Chordata, Actinopteri, Beloniformes, Adrianichthyidae. The transcript has 2 exons.